Non-coding RNA from Penaeus vannamei (Pacific white shrimp), 340 nucleotides. The record is from RefSeq and is a predicted model, not a curated record. Lineage: Eukaryota; Metazoa; Arthropoda; Malacostraca; Decapoda; Penaeidae.
CUCGCACGCACCGGUCACGUUCUCGUCUUCUCCGGGUGGCAGUCAUGUGAGACCUGUUUCCGUCUCGCCUGAAGAACAGUGAAGAACAUGCGCGAGACAGUGCCCAGCGCAGUGCCAUUCACAUCCCUGGCAUUACCUGGGCAGUGACAAAGCCUCCGAAGACACAGGUGUGACAGAGGAAAGGUAAAAGACAUAUGACUUUCAAAGACACUGUAGCCUUGUCGCGUGAUAAAGGAGGACUUUAGUUAUCCUUGUUACUCUUGAAGGUCAACCUUGACCACCUGAGACUAGAUAAUAAGGGGGGAAAUAAGCUCAUAAAAGAGAGAAAGAGAGAAAGAAA